GAACGGCUAGCGACAGGCCUAACACAUGCAAGUCGAGGGGCAGCACAAGGAGCAAUCUGAGGUGGCGACCGGCGCACGGGUGAGUAACACGUAUGCAACCUGCCUGUAAGCGGGGAAUAACCCGUUGAAAGACGGACUAAUACCGCAUAAUACUAAAUUACUGCAUGGUAAUUUAUUUAAACAUUUAUGGCUUACAGAUGGGCAUGCGCAUGAUUAGCUAGUUGGAGAGGUAACGGCUCCCCAAGGCAACGAUCAUUAGGGGUUCUGAGAGGAAGGUCCCCCACACUGGUACUGAGACACGGACCAGACUCCUACGGGAGGCAGCAGUGAGGAAUAUUGGUCAAUGGACGAGAGUCUGAACCAGCCAAGUCGCGUGCAGGAAGAAUGUCCUUAAUGGAUUGUAAACUGCUUUUGCAGGGGAAUAAAGUGCAUCACGUGUGAUGUUUUGUAUGUACUCUGCGAAUAAGGAUCGGCUAACUCCGUGCCAGCCGCAGC
This 495-nucleotide ribosomal RNA is filed under the name uncultured bacterium. Its description in RNAcentral is "bacterial SSU rRNA". It matches the Rfam family "Bacterial small subunit ribosomal RNA", at positions 35 to 518 of the family's 1533-position model. The record is from RNAcentral.